Non-coding RNA from Eragrostis curvula (weeping love grass), 71 nucleotides. The record is from the annotation of a GenBank genome assembly. Lineage: Eukaryota; Viridiplantae; Streptophyta; Magnoliopsida; Poales; Poaceae.
GGUUUUGGUCUAGUGGUAAAGACACCCGAGUAGUACUUUUGAGGUCUUAGGUUCGACUCCUGGUGGAAGCG